UACGGAGGGUGCGAGCGUUAUCCGGAAUUACUGGGUUUAAAGGGUGCGUAGGCGGCUAUGUAAGUCAGGCGUGAAAGUUUGCGGCUCAACCGUAAAAUUGCUUUUGAUACUGCAUGGCUAGAAUUAGGAUGAGGUCAGCGGAAUGUGGCAUGUAGCGGUGAAAUGCAUAGAUAUGCCAUAGAACACCAAUUGCGAAGGCAGCUGGCUAGACCUGGAUUGACGCUGAGGCACGAAAGCGUGGGGAGCGAACAGG
This 253-nucleotide ribosomal RNA is filed under the name uncultured bacterium. Its description in RNAcentral is "partial 16S ribosomal RNA". It matches the Rfam family "Bacterial small subunit ribosomal RNA", at positions 524 to 776 of the family's 1533-position model. The record is from RNAcentral.